UGAUCCUAACCCUGAUAUUCAUCUAUUAUUUAUUGAAUUUAAUAAAAAUUUUUUUGAAGAGAAACUUUCUUCUGUUGAAGUUAAGUGGAGUAAAAGGAUGACUUUAUGUGCAGGAACUUGUAGAUAUGAAAGCUUUGGGGGGCUUUGCUUAAUUACUUUGAGUGAACCUUUGUUGAAAUACAGAACUAGAAAAGAACUUAUUGAAACCCUUUUGCACGAAAUGAUUCAUGCCCUUCUUUUUAUUACUCAAAAUAAUAAAGAUCACGAUGCGCACGGCCCCGAGUUUAUAAAUAAUAUGACCAGGAUUAAUAAUUUAAUCGGGACCGAUAUUUCCGUUUAUCAUAAUUUCCAUAAUGAAGUGAACUUUUAUCGUACACACGUUUGGCGUUGCACUGGGCCUUGUCAAUUCAAGCCUCCUUUUUAUGGAAUAGUUAAGCGAGCGACAAAUCGGAAACCUGGUAAGUAUGACCGCUGGUUUUAUACUCACCAGUUGAACUGUGGUGGUACUUUUGAGAAGAUUUCUGCGCCGGAAAAAAAAUCCACGAAUAGGAUUAAAAAUAAUAACACUGAUAA
Molecule: long non-coding RNA, 573 nt
Organism: Zophobas morio
Lineage: Eukaryota; Metazoa; Arthropoda; Insecta; Coleoptera; Tenebrionidae
Exons: 7
Source: RefSeq, a predicted model, not a curated record